RNAcentral lists this ribosomal RNA (337 nucleotides) under uncultured bacterium. RNAcentral describes it as "SSU rRNA". It matches the Rfam family "Bacterial small subunit ribosomal RNA", at positions 26 to 372 of the family's 1533-position model. The record is from RNAcentral.
AGAACGAACGCUGGCGGCGUGGAUAAGACAUGCAAGUCGAACGAGGUAGUUUGGUAGCAAUAUCAAACUGCCUAGUGGCAAACGGGUGCGUAACACGUAGGUUACAUUCCGGAAAGUGUGGGAUAGCCCAGGGAAACUUGGAUUAAUACCGCAUGUGAUCGCAAGAUCAAAGGCGAAAGCCGCUUUCUGAUUGGCCUGCGCCCUAUCAGCUAGUUGGUGAGGUAAUGGCUCACCAAGGCAACGACGGGUAGCUGGUCUGAGAGGACGACCAGCCACACUGGAACUGAGACACGGUCCAGACACCUACGGGUGGCAGCAGUCGAGAAUCUUUCACAAU